GGGAGAUGCUCGUACUGAUGGGGAUGAGCUUGGGUUGGGGGUAGACAUGGAGCAGCACCAAGGAGGUGGCGGUGGGGUCUCUGGGGAACUUGUGCAGCGCCCACAGCACCAUCGCCUUGGAGUCGGACCCGGCCCCCACCGCCACGUACACCUUCUUCAUCUUCUCGCCAGACUCGGAGGAGGACUGCUCCGGCUCCGGCGAGUCGCAGGCCGCGUCCAUGGCAGAUAGAUAGAGCAAGGAAUUGCCCAACAGUGCCACUGCAAUUUCCAUGGCAUGGCAGGAGCUAGCUGUGCUGUGCUUGCCUUUCUCAUGGAUGACUGACUGACUAGUGACUAGUACAAGUCCUCUCUGCUUCACUUCACCUCCCUCCUCUGUAAGCCUUCUUCUCUGCUCCUCUCCUCUGCUUUCGUGGUCAGCUUCUGGUUGCGCACCACCUGUUUGUUCAAAUGCCCAGCCCAUGUUCUCGCUCAACUCAAGGAAGAUAGAUAGGUAUCUUGGAGGAGUAGGCCCUUAAUUGGUUGUUUGGCAUGCAACUGCCUAAUCCUGUCUUGUAAGCCGUUUGUUUGGGAAUGUGAAAGCGAUACACCUUUACUUUGAAGUUAGCGGUAGUGGAUUGGGGCUAAAUUGUAGGUCAGUCAGAGCAGCUAAAUGAUUUUGCCUACGCAGUUUCCGCUGACCUGGCAGACGUAGUACAGAUAAUAGUGUGCUCAUUAUCUCCUGAAAAAUGGCAUGCCUGUAUCUGCAGUAAGAAUCGAACGUGCAUAGCUAAUUCAUGAGUAAUCACAUUAUUAUAAACCGUCUGUGCUCUGAUCUAUCUGAUUGCUCAUUUACUGUAGUUUUUUUGGGGACCACGCUGAUUUGACUCUAACUCUCAACUUUGCAUAACUGAGAGGGAAUUAAAAUGUCCAUACACCAUCACUUUUCAAUGUACCUGAAUACCCACUCUCUCUUGGAGAGUUACAUGCCAUGUCAGUUCAUCCCAAGAACAUGUGACCGAAAACAUGUACAUCACUUCUCGUUUGUGGGCCCAAACAUUGAGAAAGCGCUAACUGCUAAAGUGGGGGAAAAUGAAUUCUCUACAGACUAUACAAACUUGCAAACCAUUUGCUUCACUUCCUAACACGACUGCGCAGAUCAAAUGGAAGGUUAAAAAUCACGGUUGCUGUUGCAUUUGCCAUUCUUGAAUUGCAAAACGAAGGGCAUUGUUCGGCAUUAACUCAUGGUGUGUGAAGCUGAGGUAGGUCAUGGGGGACAUUUUAUGCCCCCUUUGAAGCCAGUCCUUGAUGGCCUCACCUUCAUAUGUGAAUCCAUCGGCAGCAAUGUGUGGAUCCCUCAUGAUCUCCUGAAAAUGUUACAAAGAUGCAAGAUUAUCAAACUAAAGAUGAAAAACGUUGGUGGCUUGCAUUUAUCAUCUGGACAGUUCAUCAUAGCUUGCAGGAUACCCCAGGCUUCAUUUGCAAGAUUAGGCCGCUCCUUCCGUUCAUACCGGCAACAUCUCAGUGCUAGUCUUGCCAACUCUUCAGUGUACUCAGGUGGCCAUUCCCCUCCAGAAGUAUCAAUUAUAUCUUGCAACAUGUCAUUGCUCAAGGCUGCC
Long non-coding RNA from Triticum aestivum (bread wheat), 1595 nucleotides. RefSeq lists it as uncharacterized. The transcript is spliced from 3 exons. NCBI's taxonomy places the organism in Eukaryota, Viridiplantae, Streptophyta, Magnoliopsida, Poales, Poaceae. The record is from RefSeq and is a predicted model, not a curated record.